ACGAACGCUGGCGGCGUGCCUAACACAUGCGAGUCGAGCGAGAAACUUCGGUUUCUAUCGGCGGACGGGUGAGUAACAGGUGGGUAACCUGGCUCAUAGAGGGGGAUAGCCUCCCGAAAGGGAGAUUAGUACCGCAUAAGAAGUAAGAAUCGCAUGGUUCAAGCUUUAAAGGAGUAAUCCGCUAUGAGAUGGGCCCGCGGCGCGUUAGCUAGUUGGUGAGGUAAAGGCUCACCAAGGCGACGAUGCGUAGCCGACCUGAGAGGGUGAUCGGCCACAUUGGAACUGAGACACGGUCCAGACUCCUACGGGAGGCAGCAGUGGGGAAUAUUGCACAAUGGGCGAAAGCCUGAUGCAUCAACGCCGCGUGAGUGAUGACGGCCUUCGGGUUGUAAAGCUCUGUCUUUGGGGACGAUAAUGACGGUACCCAAAGAGGAAUCCACGGCUAGCUACGUGCCAGCAGCCGCGGUAAUACGUAUGUGGCAAGCGUUGUCCGGAUUUACUGGGCGUAAAGGGUGCGUACGGCUGACUUUAAUUGAGAUGUGCAUCCCCGAGCUUACUUGCGGGCUGCAUUUCAACUGUAGGUCUCUAGUGCACGAAAUCAGAGUGGAUAUCUAUUGUACCGUUGAAUGCCUAAAAUAUGAAAACCCAAUGCCAAGGGAUCUCUGACUGUACUAAACUGAGGACCAAAGUGUUAGCACCACACAACCCUGGAUCCUGCCGUAACAAUGACUCUACUCUACGGUUUCCUCACUCUUACCGCUCAACGCUUAAUAUACUCCUGCUAUACGUCCCUCAUUCUAUCUUUCAAUGACGCAGCCUUAACCCUG
This 827-nucleotide ribosomal RNA is filed under the name uncultured anaerobic bacterium. RNAcentral describes it as "bacterial SSU rRNA". The stretch from base 1 to 733 matches the Rfam family "Bacterial small subunit ribosomal RNA". The record is from RNAcentral.